CAGGAGAUGGCCUCGACCAUCGAGCACCAGGACCUGCACCUCCGCCAUCUUCGGCAGCCGCUUGGGAAAAAGCGCUUCUCCCAUUUUUAAAGCUAUGUCCCACGUCUUCUCCAUUUCACCCCAGGUGGAGCUGCAGCCCAGCUGGAGACACAAACGUUCCCAUUUGUAGCUGAGAAGUCCCUGUUUGGUGGAUCAUGGGCUCCUUCCACUGGUUUUGAUCCUUCCACUUCCUGUCUGGUUCCCUUUGAUCCCAGCCUCUCUGACAUCACUGGAGAAAUGCCAGCCUAUGGAAGACAACCUCUGAGUCUCCUGGUGCCAAAACCAAGAACUUACUUGCAUCUACAUGUAAAUCAGAUUUUCCCUUGGGCAGCAUGGAGCAAAUCCCACUGUGAAAAGGUUUCCUCCGUCUUCCUCUUUGUCAGACUGCAUGCUGAGUCACAGGAUGGACCAGAUGUGUUGGUAUGAGAUGAAGUCAGGCCGGGAGACAAGAUGGCAGGCUGAGAACUGGGGCUGGCCCUUCCUGUGCUGUCCAUUCCGGUGUGGUCCUCCAGCCCUUCUGGAUUGUCAUAAAGGACAAGUCCUGAGUUAGCCUACUGAAGGAUGAGAGAAUAUAUGAAGGAGAACUGAGUCACUCCAACUAAGGCCAAACUACAGCAGCAUGCUACAACCUGUCUGUUGUGUGCAGAAUCAUGGGCAAGGUCAGCCAACAUCAAGUGAGCCAAGAAAGUCACCCAGCAAACUUGUAGAUUUGGUAGCAAAAAAUAAAUAUUUAUUUUUAUUUGUCAC
RNAcentral lists this long non-coding RNA (786 nucleotides) under Homo sapiens (human). RNAcentral describes it as "novel transcript". The record is from RNAcentral. Lineage: Eukaryota; Metazoa; Chordata; Mammalia; Primates; Hominidae.